RNAcentral lists this long non-coding RNA (961 nucleotides) under Panax ginseng (ginseng). RNAcentral's name for it is "long non-coding RNA (PGIN_LNC017477)". The record is from RNAcentral. Lineage: Eukaryota; Viridiplantae; Streptophyta; Magnoliopsida; Apiales; Araliaceae.
UUGAUAAGUUUGGGGGUCGUUGAUUUUUAUUUGCAUUAGUAGAUUGUUAGUAUUUUGUGGACAAUUUGGGUUUAUAUUGUUGUUAAAUGUUGCAUUUAGGAUUGCAUGUUAAUUCCAGCUAUUUGGUAGUUACGUAUGUUUGGGGCCAAUGAUGAAAUUAAAAUUGCAUGAACAAGUCUAGUAAGGAUUGUUAAGCUAGUGAUAUGAUUUCCUGGACAUGAUUUACAUCUUUAUCUGUUUGACACUGAUAUUAUCAGGAUAGCACAUUUUGAAAAAUGACCAUGUUGGCUAAGAAAGUUUAAAUGGCUAGAUAAUAGAGUUCUAAAGGAUGAAUGCUAGUGAAAUGAAGGAACAAUUUGAAUAGCUAGUGAUGACUGAAUUUAGACAUAAACUGAAGUUUGGGGGAAAAAUAUUUGGAAUAUAUAAGCUUUGAAAAAAAAAACUAUAAUAAACACGUGGCAUGCUUGUCUAGUUUUGUGGCCGUUGUUACUUGAGUAAGUAAACCCGAGGGGAUUGUCUCUACACCUAGCGCCCUAAGGUCUUAAUGGCUUGGGAGUCGUUGGUCGAAAGCUCGUUAAGGUAACACUAGAAAGCCUAAGGGAAUAAGACAGUGCAUAGUCAUGAGGAAAAAAAACAUAAUAAUUAUAAUAAAGCAGGAAAAGUGCAAAAAGCCCCCGUUAAAAAAAAGAAGCAUACGUAUUCCAUUAAUUUUGACCCUUGGACUUUGGUAAUUGUUUGAUUUCAACCGAAUCAAGAUUAUUUGAUGAGUUCUCGAGUUUACACUGUAUGAUGCCUGCUAAGAAAUUUAUUCUCUUUCAUAUUUUUGUUUUUCAUUGGUUAGCAUGGUUGUUGAACACACACACACGAUAUCAGUAAUAACAGAUUUAGAGUCAUUGAUUGUGGGGAUAUUAUUGAUCUAUCUUAGCAUGAUGUAUUAACAUGUUUUUGUGAUUUUUCUGAG